This is a long non-coding RNA of Helianthus annuus (common sunflower), 611 nucleotides long. RefSeq lists it as uncharacterized. The transcript is spliced from 4 exons. NCBI's taxonomy places the organism in Eukaryota, Viridiplantae, Streptophyta, Magnoliopsida, Asterales, Asteraceae. The record is from RefSeq and is a predicted model, not a curated record.
UCUUCUUCACACUUUUCUUACCCCAAAAAAACCCUAAACACAAUCACAACAGCCGCAAAUUUUAAAAACCAAUACAUCGAUUAGUGAUUGAAUUAUGUAUGUUGAAUGAGAAAUUGUUCAUCUCUGUUAUAAAUUGACAAAUUGAGGAUGAUGAUGAUAAAACAGACACAUACGACGAUUUCUCUUUGUUUACAAAGAAGGUGAUUUUGUAACUAGUACUUGUGACACACGUGUCUAUAAUUCAGACUCCACACUUAAGACCUGCUGAGUACAAGAGAUCAAGAUUAUCGAGGAACAGAAGAACUGUUAACCGAGCCUAUGGUGGAGUACUGUCUGUCGGUGCUGUAAGAGAAAGAUUUAGUUUGUUGUGGUGUGCUUCUUUGGAAGUUCAUGGGGACCAGUUACCGCCAAACAUCCAGAAAGGAUAUACAUAUGUUGCUCCGAACCAGGUUGUCUCAUUUGUUGUUCCACACUUUCGUACCCGUCUUCCAAAAACUCUUGUCCUCACAAAGAACGGUUUCAAAGGGGAGGAAUAUAAACCGGUACAUGAGACUUAUGGGAAAGAGAACUGACUCUGUUCUGGCUACAAUUCAAAUAAUUAGAUCCUAAGG